CGAACAGUCGUACAUAUAUAGAAUUGUGAUCUAUGAAUUCACCAGACAGGCUGAGUAAAAUUAUUGGUAGGAGUAAAAUGGUGUAGUGGGGAAUAUUCUACGAUAUAGGAUAAUGGAAAAAGGAAAGAUACAAAGCUUCCACAUACGAAUCAUCAAUUUGCCAAUGCAGAUUAUUUAGAAUUUUUCAAGUAUUUAAUGAUGCUAUUACAAAGUUUCUGUUCCUUUCAUUGUCGCUCUUGUCAAAGUCAUUUUGGAUUCGCGUCUACCGACAGAUUUGACAAAAAAAAGCUUUAUUGUCCUUCGUGUAAUAAUCAUGGAGAACGAUGAAGAACAUGAUAAAAUUCUGGAUAUGUUAUCUGACAAUUUUUUAUAUAUUUCAAGUGAAAGUGAAGAUAUUGACCAUUGUGACAAUGAUACUGAAAGUGAAAGAAGUGAGGAGGAUGAAAAAAAAAAUAAAAGAAAAAUUGGCAUAUUGCAGGAAAUUUGUUUUCAUGCCUCUAUGCAGAAUAGACAUAAUCAUGAAAGGUGACCUCUGUUUUAAAGUAAUAUGAUUUCUGCUAUGGACAACACUCGGUUGGUCUGUUAUACAGAUAUUCAGUGUCGUCGUUUGUGCAGUCAUGAAAUUUAUCUUUGUUUUAAUAAAAUAAAAAAAGAAUCGUGAGGCAAACUUAAUGUUUUCAUUUAAAUAUCAUCAUUGCAGUCGUUUGUGUAGCCAUAUAUAAAUUUAUCUUUGUUUCGAUAAAAAAAAAGAAGAAUCGUGAGUUUUCUCCGUUAAUUCAAGUUUAUGUGCGUUUUGCGAUUUCAAUUAAUUUUUAGAAACGUAUACUUGAAUAGACUGCACACAAAGCAGUCACAGUCAUAAGUUGUUUUAAAGUUUUAUUUAUAUAUAUUUUUUAUAGUCAUAUAUACUAUACUUCUAUAUAAAAUAAACAAUAGAUAUUCGACAAUUAAUUCAUUGUCCGUUUCUUAAUUAAUAAAUGAUUAUAUCGCGUAUUAAAGUCAGUGCAUCAUGGAAGGUGAUCAAGAACUUCUAUACAAAAUAUUUCUAUACAAAAAUAUUGAUAAAUCAUCAUUGCAUUCAAAUUAAGUUGAUCUUUAAUCACUACAACUUUAAUCUCUCUUAUUUUGGAUAUACAAUGUGGACGAGAUUUUUGAAACCAUCAUGAAACUUCGUAAGUAGUGAGUGAAAGAAUUUAAGUAUACUUAUAGUACUCAUCAUGCCGAAAACGCAAGAUCGUCGAUAGGCUUUUCGUUAAAUUAUUGAGAUACAUCACUAUUAAUAAUUUUUUUUCUAAGUUUAUUCAUGAGUAGUACAUUUUUAAUUGUGUAUUUUCAUUGCUUUUUUAUUAUAUAUAUCUAUUCUUUUUAAUUUGGUGUUUUUUUGUUUCAUCAGUUUAAAUCAUUUAAUUAAUAUUGCAGUUAAGUAAUAUUUCUUUUGUUCGUAUUUGGUUGUAAUAUUAAUAGUGACAUCUGGUAUUCAUUUACCUGAUAUCAUCAAAAAAAGCAUGUUAGGUGGUUUACAUUGCAUUCAUUGUUUCGUAUUUAUUCUAUUUAAUCGCAGUAUACUUCGAUAUAUUGAUAUUGAUAUAUUAAAAAAGAAUGAGAAGACAAACGCGACGAUUAGAUUGUAGUAAUUGGUUUUAUUCUUUUAUAAGAACAGCUACUUUUAGUGAAAGGAGUUAUCCGAAGUUCUUAAAUUAUUUUUGGAAAAAUAUAUAUUCAAUCAAUUUUGCUAAAAAAGAAAGAGCUAUCAACAGAAUCAUUGAUUUUAAAAGAAAAAAAUAGAGUGGUCAUUGCUAAAAAAGAAAGUUUUGAAAAUUAUCGUACAUGUGUUAAAAAUUAGAUAGACUAGUGUGGUCUAUACUAAAUUAAUUCAUUAUUAAUUUAAGAUUUUCAACAAUUAAUAUAUUGAUUCCUGUUUAUCUUCUCGUACUUUCUGCGUUUUUAUUUAAGCAUGUGCCAGGUGAUUUAUGGAUAAAAAUUAGUUCGAUUUUAAUUUUAAGUUUUCCUUUUCUAGCGAUUGCGUUAGUAAUUGUGCAUUAUAUAUUUCGCACUUGAUGAAUCCACGAAUGUUAAAUGGUCGAUUAAACGUCGUUAAAUUUUUAAUUACAUAUAUAUAUACAUACAAGAAAAUUUCAUUAUUCGAAAUAUCAAAUUAAUCAUUAAAUAUAGUAAUGAGUAAAAAAAUAGUCGUAUUACACAUACACACACACGACGCGCGCACCUGCUGACCCUUUGCACUUAACGACUUUGCCGCUAGGGAGAAUUAACAACUCAAAACAAUUUUGCGAAUAUUAAGCAAGCUUCUUACAGCUAUUUUAAAAUGAAAUAUCCAAAAAAUUUGGUUAAAUAUGUCUCUUGUGAAUAUUUUUGAAUAAAAAGGAAUGUUGCUUACGUUAUUCCUUGAUCAAUACUGUUGUAAAUUUGCCAAUAGCAUGGUGUUCAUAUUUAUUACAUCAACAAAUGCCCAAAAUUCUUCGUUGUUCACAUCAUGCCAAGUUUGCCAUAUCGAAUUCAACCAUAACGUGUUCACUUUUAACUUUUUUUAUCAUAAUUAUUUAUUUCACACAAAUUCUUUUUUGUCUUAGAAAAAUCUUUUGGUAACAGAAUUGCGUAUAAUGACUGGUUUAUUAUAUAAGAAAUGAUAGACGCAUACAAUAUACACAGGUUCUAACUUAAAUGAGAAUAUUAAACACGGUAACAAAACUAUAAUGAUCAGACCGAAUAAUAUGUUCCUUAAACGCAUGCGCCUUUUUCGGGAUUCGUGGACAGAGAGACCGAGAUUUCGAGGAAACGAGAUCAGCACGUCACUUUGCACGAGAUAAACGCAGCCGGAUAUCACGUGCACCGAAAUUUUCGCGUUCAGAUUUAAUUUACAUAUCCAAUAUUUUUCCUUAAAUUGAACGCUUAAAAAACUUAUUAAACUUGAACUGCUAAUGUAAUUGAUUUUUUUGAGGUCAUUUAAUGGGGCCUUGAUUAAAAGGUCGGCAAUCAUAUCGCUGGUAUACAAAUAUUAUAAUUUGAAUUUCCCAUCACGUAGUGAUAGCGUAUUGCUAUGUGCUUAGUUCUCACAUGGAAUACAGGAUUUCUUAAUAAUUUUAAUGCGCUUGUAUUAUCAUAAAUAGUGACGUCGAUUUCGAAAUCUAAUGCCAGUUCUGAAAAAGUAUCGAUUAAAUACAAGGCUUGCUUAACAGCGUCUGUAAUUAUCAUAUAUUCUGAUUCCAUUUUUGAUAAAGCAACCAUUUGUCCAUUGCUUCCUUGAUUCCCAUGAAAUAGGACCUCCACCUAGAAAAAAACAUAAUCCGUAUAACAGUGGCGAUCGUUUAUGCAUCUUGCCCAAUGAGCGUCUGUAAAACCUUCCAAACAAUUGUUACCCGAUUGAUAAGAUAUGCAAUAAUGAUCGGUGCCUUUAAUAUACUUAAGUAUCCUUUAGACUCCUUCCUAAUGCGAUUUCUUGUGUCAGUUAUUGAAUUGACUUAAGUAACUUACUGUAUAACAUAUGUCAUAUCUAGACAUAGUUGCUGGAUACAUUAAACCUAUCAAUUCACAGUGUGGAUAUUGUUUAUCUUUAGCCUUUUGUUGUUCCUUAAUUAACACUGUACUUGGUUCUAAUAGGAAUCUCAGUCAUGAUGGAUUUCUCUAAUUAUUCUCUUAUAUGCAUCCUUUGGCCUACUUGAUUUCAUGGUCUUUGAUAGUAAACUCUACCUCUAAGCAAUAUUUGAUGUUUCCUAAAUCUUUAACUGAAAUGAACGCUUUUGUAAGACCAUUUUUAAUUUGUUAAAUCUUUGUUACAUUAAAAUGAAUAAUAUGGAUAAUAUGAAAAUAUCAUCGACACGAACAAUAACUAACAAUAGCUCUUCCUUUGAUCACGGUGGUAUACACAUGGGUUGAAAUUUGAUAGCUUCAAGCCCAUGUUCCUUAAUUCUUUAUCCAACUUUAUGUGCCACUGUCUAACUGUCUGCUUUAAUCCAUAUACAGCUUUCUUUAGCUUGCAAAUCUUAUUCCCGCCUUCCAUUUGCUUCAGCAUCUUUUUUGCGGUGUUUUUAAUUUUAUUAGUCGCCUUUUCUGUGUCUAUUUACUUCUUGAGCACAUUCUGCAUGUUCUCUGAUACUUCCAUAUAUACUUCCCUAUCCAGUGAACCGUUCAAGUAAGCGAUGGUAAUAUCAACCUGAUAGAUGUUUAUUUUAUAAUGAGCUGCCAAUGCUGCUGCAAGGCGAACUGAACUCAGACGAGCUAUAGGUGCGAAGGUCUUAGUAAAAUCCAAUUUUGAUCUCUGACUAAAAUCUCGUGCUACUAGUCUGGAUUUCUUCUUGCUAACUGCAUUGUCUGAUCCGUACUUGUUUGUUAACUAUGCGACUGCCAAUAAUAUUCUUUUUCUUAAGCUGCUCAACUAAUUCCCAAACAUUCUUUUCCAACAUUAAAUUAACCCUUUGCGCACGAGAGGCGACUCUCAGUAGCUACGGCGUUUUAUGUGGCAACUUUAGUCUUUAGACUGGCAACAACAGUCUUUAUUUAUGCUUUAUCUAUACUAUAUAUAGAUUUCGUUACCUCCAAAUAAUAGGAGCGCAGUAUGGGUUCGUAAAUAUGUUCCUUAGCUCUUUAUGGUCUUUUUUAUGACUUUUAGAAUGAAGAUAAGAUAAAAUUAAUCUCAAAUUCUUCUGGGACUGUGGUUCUAAUAAUGUUUCCGAUGUUAGUUCAGUUUCGACGAUCAAGGCAAAUGUAUCAUAAGAUUUUUCAUCGAUUGAUUUUAAGAUUUGAAGCCCCACAAAAAUGACUUUUAAAAGUGAAAUUAGUUCAAGUGAAGAUGAAUUUGAUUUUGAACUGUUCAAGAAAGAGACCAAUGUUAUUCAUGAAGAAAUUAAUAGUAGAGAAAGUGAAAGCAGUGAUGGAGAUAGUGACAUCGUAUUAGAUUUAAGAAAUAGAAAAAUUAGAUGAAUAGAUAACGAAUCGGAAAGUGAUAGUGAUUCCUCACAAGAUUCGAAUAAUGCAGAAUGGACACCCUGUGAUGAAUUCAGCGUAAUAUCACUGAGAAUAAAAUUCAUACCCGGCGAAAAACCUCUAGGAAAACAGCUAUCUUCAAAUAUCAAAGAACCUUUGGAUUUUUUUAAGAUGUUCUUUUCCGACGGACUAGUAACACAAAUAAUAACUGGAACUAACAAUUAUGCUGCAAUGAAGUUAGAGGGGAGGACGCUGUUGUCACGUUCGAUUUGGCAAACAUGGCAUAAUGUCAUCAAAGAAAAAUUUUAAGCGUUCAUCGCAAUUGUUAUAAAUAUGGGAACGAUGCCAAUGGCCAAUAUCCAAGAAUAUUGGUCAACUGACACAUCAAGCCACAUUCCAUUUUAUCCCAAUACUUUUAUAAGAGAUAGAUUUACCUACCUUUUUUGGAUGUUACAUGUAAAAAUAGUUUUAGCACAAGAUACUAAACUUACAAUACGUUUGCAGUUAAUAAGUGGCUACGUUGAUUAUAUAAACUCAAGAUUUUUGAAUCAUUUUACACAGAGAGAACAAAUUUGUGCCGACGAAGCUAUUAUAAAAUUCAAAGGGUAAAUUUCAUUUAUCAUGCAUAACCUGAAGAAACAAACUAAAUGGAGCAUUCGAAUUUAUAUAUUAGAAGAUUCCAAUACGAGUUAUAUUUGUGGAAUUAUGUCUUAUCAUGAUAGUCUUACAACACAAACAUUGAUAAAAUCAGACCUUCUAUUAUUAACUAGAAUUCCAUUGCAUUUGUACACAAUGCUAUUGAAUAAAAUUCCAGGUAUGCAAGAACAUUAUAUAUUUACAGACCCUUAUUAUAUCAUUUAUAUUUUAUCUAAUGAAUUACGUAAAUUAAAAUGUCAUUUGACUGGAACAAGAUUGACAAAUAGAAAAGAGUUGCUAGCAAUAAAAAAACCAAAAUUUCCAAAAAAAACUAAUGAUAGCUUAUUGUAGAAAUAAUAAUUUAGUUCUGACGUGGAAGUAUAAGAGGAUUGUCAAAUAUUGACAAAUUGGCAUAAUGCAGAGAUAAAUACAGUACAAAGAACUCUUCGUCAUGGUGUUCAGACUGUUGUUAGAAAACCUAAGGCAAUCAUAAAUUAUACAAAAUUCAUGGCGUGGCGUUGAUCGUGCCGAUCACUAUGCCUCGAUAUACUGCUUUAUGCAGAAAUUACUGAAAUGAUAGCGCAAGCUAAUUUUUUAGGGAUUAGAAAUCUGUUUAAUUAAUUUCUAUAUUCUUCAUAAACAAGUCAAACAGCAAAAGAACGAACAGUCACUUAAACACUUACAAUUUAUAAAAAUUUUAGUAGACCAUUUAUGAAGAGAUUUUUGACAACCGCAAGAUCGAGCUUCAACAUCGAUCUCCGAUUAUACGGCUAAAUGAAAAGCUCCAUAGAAUAUGAGCUUCACAGAUACAGAAAAGGAUUGUAAGGUUUGUUCUUAUCGAAACAAACAAAGUGGAAGACACAAAACUACCUAUUGCUGCGAUAUUUGUCCGGAUAAACCAAGGAUACACCUUGUUUUAUAAAUUAUAAUAUGAAAAAAAUACAGAACUUAAUAUUAGGUCUAUCGGAAAGUUCUGUUUUUAAAAUAAAAUAAAAUAAUAAAUUUUUUACACCUUGAAUAAA
Vespa crabro (European hornet) is the source of this 6596-nucleotide long non-coding RNA. RefSeq lists it as uncharacterized. NCBI's taxonomy places the organism in Eukaryota, Metazoa, Arthropoda, Insecta, Hymenoptera, Vespidae. The record is from RefSeq and is a predicted model, not a curated record. The transcript has 7 exons.